Molecule: RNA transcript, 1783 nt
Organism: Frieseomelitta varia
Lineage: Eukaryota; Metazoa; Arthropoda; Insecta; Hymenoptera; Apidae
Gene name: annexin B9-like
Exons: 10
Source: RefSeq, a predicted model, not a curated record
UGUUCCUUUCAGACACUGUACGCGACGUACGUAUCAAGAAGCUUACUAUUUCUAAUAAUUAUUCAAUUAUUUUUUAAAAUCAGUGAUAGUGAUACGAAAAUUGUGUUUAGUGUUUUUGAAAAGAAACGCGAAAUUUACAUUUAAUUGUUAUUACUUGUCAAAGAAAUUUAAGAUAUAGUUUCUUUAAUUGUUGUAAUUAACAAUAUUAAUAGUAUUAAAGUUGGUUACAAGUAAGAGAGCUGAACGGAAUCCGUACUGUUACGCUAGUAAGAUUGAAUAGAUCUACAACUGUUUCAAAAGAAGCUGAACCAAAUAAUGACGGCUAGUCAGUACUAUCAUGUGCAGUGCACACCAACUGUUUAUCCUGCUGAUCCUUUCAAUCCAGAAGAAGAUGCAGCUCUUCUUCGAACCGCCAUGAAGGGAUUUGGCACUGAUGAACAGACAGUAAUCGAUGUUCUUGCUCAUCGUGGUAUUGUACAACGACUUGAAAUAGCUGAUAAAUUUAAAACUAUGUAUGGAAAAGAUCUAAUUUCCGAAUUGAAAUCGGAACUUGGUGGUAAUUUUGAAAAAGCAAUUUUAGCAUUAAUGACACCAUUACCAGAAUUUUACGCUAAAGAACUUUAUAAUGCAAUUUCUGGAAUGGGUACAGACGAAGGUGCUCUCAUUGAAGUGUUGGCGUCUCUUAGCAAUUAUGGCAUUAAAACCAUAUCUGCUGUCUAUAAAGAACUGUAUGAAAAAAAUUUGGAGGAUGAUUUAAAAAGCGAUACUUCUGGCCAUUUUAAGAGACUCCUAGUUUCACUUUCGUGCGCCAACAGAAAUGAAAAUCCUGAUGUUGAUGAACAGGCUGCAAUUCAGGAUGCUGAAAGAUUGCUUGAAGCUGGCGAAGGACAAUGGGGAACAGACGAAAGUACUUUUAAUGCUAUUCUCAUUACUAAAAGUUAUCCUCAGUUACGAAGAAUUUUUGAGGAAUAUGAACGUCUUGCUGGCAACAAUUUAGAAGAUGCUAUUAAGAGAGAAUUUUCAGGCUCUCUUGAAGACGGUUAUCUUGCAGUUGUGAAAUGUGCACGAGAAAAAACAGCAUAUUUUGCGGAGAGAUUAUACAAAGCAAUGCGUGGAUUAGGCACAGAUGAUACGACAUUGAUACGCAUAAUCGUAGCACGAUCAGAAAUUGAUUUAGGAGACAUUAAAGAUACUUAUCAAAAAAUUUAUGGACAGUCGCUUGCAGGUGAUAUUGACGAUGACUGUUCAGGAGAUUACAAGAGACUCUUGCUUGCUCUACUUGGAUGAAAGCAUUUUCAUGUUCAACAAUUCUUUUUGUUUUUGUAUCUUACUUUAAUACCAGGAAUAUACUUUUCUUCGCAACAUUCCGCGAAGCUGUAUAGUUAUUUUAAUUUUAAUUUGUUCUAAAUUACAUCAAUAAUUUACAGAGAUUACGAGUGACUGCAGCGAAGAGUUUAAGCGGCUUCUGAUUGCACUUGUAAAUUAAAGAAAAUCAUGGAAAGGAAUCUGUAUUUAUAUUAAUUAUAGUUAAAACAUUAUAAUUAAAAAAGAACAUAGGCAUCUCUAACACUGAUGUUAAUAAUGUGCAUCUUUAAUAAUAUGCAUAAUUAGUGACUGUACUGCUGAGUGGAAAAGACUUCUGAUCGCAAUGUUGAAUUAAAGAUAGCUUUAUUCAAUAAAAAUCACUGAAAUAUUAUCUAUUGUAAUACGAAGCAGCAGAUUAUGCAUAUAUUUAUAACAUUAUGAAUUUAAAAAAAUUUAAAAAAAUAAAUAACUGAUAUCA